CCGUGUAUAACUCCCCCAAAUUGGAGAACCCAUUUUGCACGAGAAUAACUCCGACGUCUUCCAGUGGAAAUUGCAAAAACAAUGUGUUUUGUCUCAUUUAUCACACGUUGUCCGACCAUAUACCUUCAACUUCCAGUGUUGAAGAGGCAUGAAAAUUCUCUUCCCCCGAGUUCCUAAGCCCUGAAAACUCCAUCCCGACGGUUUACUCCGGCUACAAUCGCCAUGCCCGACCAUAGCUUACACCUCUGGUGUUUUCUCAUUUGAACCACACCGUGCAUUUUUGCCAGCGAAGAUCAUUCGGAGUCCCGGCCAGAUUCUCCACCUCGGUGUUUGCCCACGUGAGCCACACUCUUCUCAUUUUCUUUAGUGUUGUGCAAUUUUAAAUUUCCAACACCCGCUUCUUCGAAAGAUUUGUGUUUUUAAGGAUUAGCGUUGUGCAUUUUUUAUUUCCAGUAUUUGCUGCUUUGGAAGAUCUGUAUUUGCAAGGAUUAGUGUUGUACAUUUUUCAACUAUGCAAUUCAACGGUGGCUAUUAGUUAAUCCACUAAUGUGUAAGAUUUUUAUUUUUUUUCCCAGAAUAAACCUUAGAAAAUCCUCAUAUUGUCUCAUAUUAUAUGUACUUUUUUGUUUUGCAGCAUCAAGCAAGAAUAUUGGUAUAGAAGAGAUACACUUGGUUUUUUUGAAUGCUGAUUUUGGAAGAUUUUCGAAGCUGCGCAUUAUUCUGUCACUUGAUUUUGCUGGAAUCUGAUUUGGAAUCAGUUUUCCAUUUGUUUAUAACCUGUGAAAGUGCUGAAUUUUGGAAAUUUGUUUAUAUUUGUUUGUGAUAUUACAAGGAGUUAUAAAUGUUUUGUAAUUCUGUGUAAUGGCUUCAAUGAAAUUGCUUUAUUG
RNAcentral lists this long non-coding RNA (887 nucleotides) under Olea europaea subsp. europaea. Lineage: Eukaryota; Viridiplantae; Streptophyta; Magnoliopsida; Lamiales; Oleaceae. The record is from RNAcentral.